GCGGUGUCGCCGGUGGUGCGGGCGGCCUUCUCGUCGAGGGCGGCGCUGUCGGAGGCGCCGAGCAGGGCGGCGGUGGCCGCGCCGGCGCCGCUC
This 93-nucleotide transfer RNA is filed under the name Streptomyces purpureus. RNAcentral describes it as "tRNA-Thr". The record is from RNAcentral. Lineage: Bacteria; Bacillati; Actinomycetota; Actinomycetes; Kitasatosporales; Streptomycetaceae.